UAACGCGUGAGCAAUCUGCCUUUAAGAGGGGGAUAACAGUCGGAAACGGCUGCUAAUACCGCAUAAAGCAUCAAAUUCGCAUGUUUUUGAUGCCAAAGGAGCAAUCCGCUUUUAGAUGAGCUCGCGUCUGAUUAGCUGGUUGGCGGGGUAACGGCCCACCAAGGCGACGAUCAGUAGCCGGACUAAGAGGUUGAACGGCCACAUUGGGACUGAGACACGGCCCAG
Molecule: ribosomal RNA, 225 nt
Filed under: uncultured bacterium
Lineage: Bacteria
Description: partial 16S ribosomal RNA
Rfam family: Bacterial small subunit ribosomal RNA
Source: RNAcentral